Molecule: ribosomal RNA, 301 nt
Filed under: uncultured bacterium
Lineage: Bacteria
Description: partial 16S ribosomal RNA
Rfam family: Bacterial small subunit ribosomal RNA
Source: RNAcentral
CAGCAGCCGCGGUAAUACGAAGGGGGCUAGUGUUGCUCGGAAUUACUGGGCGUAAAGGGAGCGUAGGCGGAUCGUUAAGUUGGGGGUGAAAGCCCGGGGCUCAACCUCGGAACUGCCUUCAAUACUGGCGAUCUUGAGUAUGAGAGAGGUGUGUGGAACUCCGAGUGUAGAGGUGAAAUUCGUAGAUAUUCGGAAGAACACCAGUGGCGAAGGCGACACACUGGCUCAUUACUGACGCUGAGGCUCGAAAGCGUGGGGAGCAAACAGGAUUAGAUACCCGUGUAGUCCCUGUCUCUUUACA